Molecule: ribosomal RNA, 497 nt
Filed under: uncultured bacterium
Lineage: Bacteria
Description: partial 16S ribosomal RNA
Rfam family: Bacterial small subunit ribosomal RNA
Source: RNAcentral
GAUGAACGCUGGCGGCGUGCCUAAUACAUGCAAGUCGAGCGAACAGACGAGGAGCUUGCUCCUCUGACGUUAGCGGCGGACGGGUGAGUAACACGUGGAUAACCUACCUAUAAGACUGGGAUAACUUCGGGAAACCGGAGCUAAUACCGGAUAAUAUAUUGAACCGCAUGGCUCAAUAGUGAAAGACGGUUUUGCUGUCACUUAUAGAUGGAUCCGCGCCGCAUUAGCUAGUUGGUAAGGUAACGGCUUACCAAGGCGACGAUGCGUAGCCGACCUGAGAGGGUGUUCGGCCACACUGGAACUGAGACACGGUCCAGACUCCUACGGGAGGCAGCAGUAGGGAAUCUUCCGCAAUGGGCGAAAGCCUGACGGAGCAACGCCGCGUGAGUGAUGAAGGUCUUCGGAUCGUAAAACUCUGUUAUUAGGGAAGAACAAAUGUGUAAGUAACUAUGCACGUCUUGACGGUACCUAAUCAGAAAGCCACGGCUAACUACGUG